This 73-nucleotide transfer RNA is filed under the name Daphnia pulicaria. RNAcentral describes it as "tRNA-Thr". It matches the Rfam family "tRNA". From Rfam's summary of the family: Transfer RNA (tRNA) molecules are approximately 80 nucleotides in length. The record is from RNAcentral. Lineage: Eukaryota; Metazoa; Arthropoda; Branchiopoda; Diplostraca; Daphniidae.
GGUCCUAUGGCUUAGAUGGCAUAGCGCCUGCCUAGUAAGCAGGAGAUCACGAGUUCGAGUCUCGUUGGGACCU